GUCAAAUAGGGUAAAGAAAACAGUCUAUUUGCAUGUUCCAUCCUUCCAUCCUUGCUGUUGGUAGCAGUUUCUGGAGCAACAAGUUCCUCUACUACCGUCACGUUGGCAUAGCCCUCCAUUCGGGAUACAUUGUCCAUUCGCAGUCUGGAUUCCCAGAACUGCCAUGAUGAUGACGAACACGAAGUAGACCAGUUUCAUGUUUGAGAACAAGUCGAA
Molecule: unclassified non-coding RNA, 216 nt
Filed under: Hevea brasiliensis (rubber tree)
Lineage: Eukaryota; Viridiplantae; Streptophyta; Magnoliopsida; Malpighiales; Euphorbiaceae
Source: RNAcentral